GAGAUAUAUACUGUCUCAUAUAUAUAAAAUGAAUUUAAAUUUUUAGUAAAAAUGCUUAAAUAAUUUUAUGGGACGAUAAGACCCUAUAGAAUUUUAUAUUAAAAUUUUAUUAAUUAUUUAGUUAAAAUUUUAAUAUUUAGUUGGGAGGAUUAGUAAAUAAAAUUAACUUUAUUUUAAAAAUAAACUUUGAUUUAAGAAUAAAAUUUUGAUCUUAUAUUAUAAAUUAAAAGAAUAAAUUACCUUAGGGAUAACAGCGUAAUAUCUUUUUAAAGAUCAUAUUAAUAAAGAUGUUUGCGACCUCGAUGUUGAAUUAAGAUAAAUUUUAAAUGAAGAAAUUUAAAGAUUAAGUCUGUUCGACUUUUAAAAUCUUACAUGA
RNAcentral lists this ribosomal RNA (376 nucleotides) under Bombus morio. RNAcentral's name for it is "partial 16S ribosomal RNA". The stretch from base 247 to 376 matches the Rfam family "Bacterial large subunit ribosomal RNA", at positions 2473 to 2603 of the family's 2925-position model. Lineage: Eukaryota; Metazoa; Arthropoda; Insecta; Hymenoptera; Apidae. The record is from RNAcentral.